Molecule: ribosomal RNA, 253 nt
Filed under: uncultured bacterium
Lineage: Bacteria
Description: partial 16S ribosomal RNA
Rfam family: Bacterial small subunit ribosomal RNA
Source: RNAcentral
UACGGGGGGGGCAAGCGUUGUUCGGAAUUACUGGGCGUAAAGGGCUCGUAGGCGGCCAACUAAGUCAGACGUGAAAUCCCUCAGCUUAACUGGGGAACUGCGUCUGAUACUGGAUGGCUUGGAUUUGGGAGAGGGAUGCGGAAUUCCAGGUGUAGCGGUGAAAUGCGUAGAUAUCUGGAGGAACACCGGUGGCGAAGGCGGCAUCCUGGACCAGUACUGACGCUGAGGAGCGAAAGCGUGGGGAGCAAACAGG